CCCAUUCUACCUUUGGCUUCUCUGAGAAACGGGCCCAGACAACAUCUGGAAAAACAGUGCUGGGCUGCCCUGGCCAGCGAAAGAGGUCUCGUAGAGUCUGUUUAGUUUCUAAGCUCUGAUUUUAUCUCGUGGAUAAGAUCCAUAUGGAGAGAGUAGGGAGGGGAGAGUGAGUGCCGGGGGACAAAGCGAGGGCUGCAACUACAGUAGGUCUGUUUCUGGCCCUGUGGCAUCUCUUUCAGAGCUGGAGCUUUGCUCGGCCCUUGCCUUAAUCACAGCAUCUCCUCGGGGAAAGCCUGUCUGUUGCUUUGAGAGCAACUCGUGAAAAUAUUUAGUGGAGGGGGUGGUGGUGAAGACUCAAGGCUUCAGCUCCAGUACUGGGAUUGCUACCAAUGCUAUCAUCCAAGCUCAUCCUAUCCCAUCAACUAGACAGACCAUGGAUAUGUGUGACCUGGACUGGUCCAGAUCUCUACUGCCAACUAGCGUAACCCCGGAAAGAAAGAAAGAAAGACCCUCAACUGACCUGUUUCACAUAUUCUGCGGAAUCAACUUGGAAAUCAUUGUCAAGUUCCAAAAAUGACUUUAUUUGGGAUAGAGGCUGAAAUUCUAAUGAGUAAAUGCAGUUAGUUUGAGAUGAAUAAACAUAUUUUC
RNAcentral lists this long non-coding RNA (648 nucleotides) under Mustela putorius furo (domestic ferret). RNAcentral describes it as "lncRNA (ENSMPUG00000031572.1)". Lineage: Eukaryota; Metazoa; Chordata; Mammalia; Carnivora; Mustelidae. The record is from RNAcentral.